This is a long non-coding RNA of Platichthys flesus (European flounder), 1110 nucleotides long. RefSeq lists it as uncharacterized. The transcript is spliced from 4 exons. The record is from RefSeq and is a predicted model, not a curated record. Lineage: Eukaryota; Metazoa; Chordata; Actinopteri; Pleuronectiformes; Pleuronectidae.
AACUUGUACUUUAUUAUUAAAAACAGGUUCCUGUAAUACCUGUGUUAAGCAUGCACACAUUAAGGAACGUGUCAGUAAUCUACAAACCACGACAUCACUGGAACUUCCUUGUAACUACAAUAUUUUUCUCUUUCAGAACAAGUGCUCAGAGCUACUGAAGAGCUGCUUUGACAACGUGGGCCCAGUGCACUGGAGGAAGCUGUUUCCCCGUGGAGCUCCAGCAGUGCUUAGAGGGCUAAAAAACCUUCACCUGACAUCUUAUCAGCAAGGGGAAACCAGAUGUGACAGCGGUACGCACCGUUGUACUCCGAGGCCUCCCUGUUCUACUUGGUUAUGACCCCAGUGACUUCUACAACACCUGCUUCGAUUGUGACACUGAUGAGACCUGGGUAAAAGUAUCUGUCGGGGUGCUGACUGUUCUCCCUGAAGAUCUGCAACUCCUUCCAAAUCAGCUCCACCUUCACCCAAUGUCUACUGCCAUCAUUGUUGAGGGAGGUAUUGUAAUGGAUGAACUCCAGAACCUACCUGAGGCACUUUGACUUUUGUUUGGAAUGUCAUACGCUUUGCAUUUAGACUACCCUAAAGCCAUGAAAAACACUUUCUGCUUCAUUCAAAGAGUGAUGCUUGGCUUGGGAGAGGACAAACUCCCACCAAAAUUACAAAGUCUUAAAAAUCUCUUGUUGAGUUAGAAUGCAAAUGUAGAGUGGAUUCAGUUGUUUUUUAUUGUUCACUAAAUUAACACACUCCACUCAAAUUGUCAGCCCAUGGGUUCAUCAGCAAGUAUAGAGGCUGUACAUGUAUGUAUAUUCAUUCACAUAUAUGUGAGAUCCAUUGCCAGUUAUUACCCUGUCAGGUUUUUGCGCUCAUUGAGUAAAGCCACUUUGCACUUUUUUUUAAUUUUUUAUAUAUAUGUAGUUUUUAUUUAGUGAUUUUUGAGUAACAUUAUUCAGGAAUACAAAAGUGCACUUGUCAGCUUGUGGGUUAUUUCCCAUUGGUGGGAAAGAACUGUUAGUUGUUACAGUUUUAAGGCUGUGUUUACUGUAUUAUUGAUCUUGAUAUUGAUAUUGAUCUGUGUUUGUGGAUGUCCUUCAAGGCAAUCUUUAAGAAAAA